UAAAGUAAAAAAAAUUACUAAAUCAAAAAAGGAGAAACACAAACACACACCAUACAAUUGGGGAAAGGCUAUUGCAGAGGAGAAAAAAUAAAUAAAAGGGGUAGUGAGUUUGAGAGAGAGGUAACGAACAAUAGAGAAAAAUAUAUUGGAGUAAAGGGAGGUGAAGAUAUGGUGCAUAAAGAAUGAAAGAUUGUGAUAGUGGCGGAACUCGUCGUAGAUCUGCAUUGGAUUUGUUGGCAAUAUAGCGAACUCUUUGGUGCUUGCAGUGGCUGACGAUGGUCGGAUUCAACGUAGGUGCACAUGGUCGAUAAGAGACGAUGGUGAAUGGAGGUUGUGUCGGCGAGGAACAGGAAGAGAGAGGCUGCAGACAUUCAAUGUUUGAAGGCAGUCAGUUCAGUGGAUGAGAAUUGACCAAGAUACUAAAGAAAAACAAUCAAUAAACUCCUUCAAGUCAAAAUUGUCAGCAUGAGCAAAUGAGUAUCUUGAAGUGGUUCAUAUGACAUAUGUGUACCAUUGGAGGUGCCUUCCUUUGGAGGUAGUAAGUAUGUCAUAAUAUUUGUUGAUGAAUUUAGUAUAAUGUUAUCAAUAUACUUGAAAAAAACGAAAGAUGAAGAACUUGAAAUUUUUAAAAAUUUCAAAGUAAAGGUAAUAAAAUAGUAUGGAAGAUAUGCCAAGGUGUUAAUGACAUAUGGAGAUGGUGAAUAUACUGUAAGAUUUAUGGGUCACAUAUGUAAUUAAUUAAUAAAGUGUGUUAGGGUCAUUAUA
Non-coding RNA from Cicer arietinum (chickpea), 765 nucleotides. The record is from RefSeq and is a predicted model, not a curated record. NCBI's taxonomy places the organism in Eukaryota, Viridiplantae, Streptophyta, Magnoliopsida, Fabales, Fabaceae.